GGGGAAGAGGAAAUUAUUUUCCCAGUGCCUCUGAAAUCCUGGAUUUCCACUGACUGCCCCCUAUGCCUGGAACUCUCCCUCCUGUCAAGGCCUGAAAUAAAUCAAACCCAUGAGUUGAGGAAUAAAGCAUCUUUAAUUGAGAUAACAGGAUAGCAAAUCUGCCAUCCUGGGAGAUGUCCAGUGGAUUUUCCCAAUCAAAGAGAUCCAUGAAAAAGUUUUUAUAAUUUCAGGAGGAGAGGGAGAGGAGAUGGUAUAAGGAAGUAAGGCCUCGUCAUGAGACCCCAGUGGCCCUUAGCAACUGAGCUCCAGAUAAAAUAAUAAGCAAUGAUGGGACUGGACUUGAGGAGACGUAGCUGCUGUUGGUAACAAGAAAGGGCCUUGGUUCAGACUUGAUCUGUCACUUAUAAAAGGACAGUGCUCCUGUUGAAUUUCAAAUCUGGAAUGAAGAAUCCGUGUCAACCAGCUCUAUUGAUUACAAUGCGCCAAGCUGGAAGGAUGAAAAUGACUUAUGCCCUUGGCUCUAAGAUGGCUGUAUAGAAGACAAAUUCCCAAUGAGACA
Molecule: long non-coding RNA, 559 nt
Organism: Vombatus ursinus (common wombat)
Lineage: Eukaryota; Metazoa; Chordata; Mammalia; Diprotodontia; Vombatidae
Exons: 3
Source: RefSeq, a predicted model, not a curated record